Molecule: ribosomal RNA, 501 nt
Filed under: uncultured bacterium
Lineage: Bacteria
Description: partial 16S ribosomal RNA
Rfam family: Bacterial small subunit ribosomal RNA
Source: RNAcentral
AUUUAACGCUGGCGGCAGGCUUAACACAUGCAAGUCGAGCGGGUGAAGUUAGCUUGCUACCGGACUUAGCGGCGGACGGGUGAGUAAUGCUUAGGAAUCUGCCUAUUAGUUGGGGACAACAUCUCGAAAGGGAUGCUAAUACCGCAUACGUCCUACGGGAGAAAGCAGGGGAUCUUCGGACCUUGCGCUAAUAGAUGAUCCUAAGUCGGAUUAGCUAGUUGGUGGGGUAAAGGCCUACCAAGGCGACGAUCUGUAGCGGGUCUGAGAGGAUGAUCCGCCACACUGGGACUGAGACACGGCCCAGACUCCUACGGGAGGCAGCAGUGGGGAAUAUUGGACAAUGGGGGGAACCCUGAUCCAGCCAUGCCGCGUGUGUGAAGAAGGCCUUAUGGUUGUAAAGCACUUUAAGCGAGGAGGAGGCUACUUUAGUUAAUACCUAGAGAUAGUGGACGUUACUCGCAGAAUAAGCACCGGCUAACUCUGUGCCAGCAGCCGCCGUAA